GAAAUGCGAUAAUUAAUGUGAAUUGCAGAAUUCAGUGAAUCAUCGAGUCUUUGAACGCACAUUGCGCCCCCUGGUAUUCCGGGGGGCAUGCCUGUCCGAGCGUCAUUGCUGCCCUCAAGCACGGCUUGUGUGUUGGGCUUCCGUCCCUGGCAACGGGGGCGGGCCCAAAAGGCAGUGGCGGCACCAUGUCUGGUCCUCGAGCGUAUGGGGCUUUGUCACCCGCUCCCGUAGGUCCAGCUGGCAGCUAGCCUCGCAACCAAUCUUUUUAACCAGGUUGACCUCGGAUCAGGUAGUGAUACCCGCUGAACUUAAGC
This 314-nucleotide unclassified non-coding RNA is filed under the name plant metagenome. RNAcentral describes it as "partial contains 5.8S ribosomal RNA, internal transcribed spacer 2, and large subunit ribosomal RNA". The stretch from base 1 to 105 matches the Rfam family "5.8S ribosomal RNA", at positions 50 to 154 of the family's 154-position model. The record is from RNAcentral.